Molecule: ribosomal RNA, 524 nt
Filed under: Methylophilus sp.
Lineage: Bacteria; Pseudomonadati; Pseudomonadota; Betaproteobacteria; Nitrosomonadales; Methylophilaceae
Description: bacterial SSU rRNA
Rfam family: Bacterial small subunit ribosomal RNA
Source: RNAcentral
GCUAGUUUGGGGGAGUAAUAGCCUAUCAAGGCUUCGAUCAGUAGCUGGUCUGAGAGGACGACCAGCCACACUGGAACUGAGACACGGUCCAGACUCCUACGGGAGGCAGCAGUGGGGAAUUUUGGACAAUGGGCGCAAGCCUGAUCCAGCCAUUCCGCGUGAGUGAAGAAGGCCUUCGGGUUGUAAAGCUCUUUCGCAAGGGAAGAAAACUUACUUUCUAAUAAAGAGUGAGGCUGACGGUACCUUGAUAAGAAGCACCGGCUAACUACGUGCCAGCAGCCGCGGUAAUACGUAGGGUGCGAGCGUUAAUCGGAAUUACUGGGCGUAAAGCGUGCGCAGGCGGUUUGGCAAGUCAGAUGUGAAAUCCCCGAGCUCAACUUGGGAACUGCGUUUGAAACUGCCAGACUAGAAUAUGUCAGAGGGGGGUAGAAUUCCACGUGUAGCAGUGAAAUGCGUAGAGAUGUGGAGGAAUACCAAUGGCGAAGGCAGCCCCCUGGGAUAAUAUUGACGCUCAUGCACGAAAG